UGAUUUAAUAAGAAAAAGAUUUUAUACGAGAUUUAUAGCACAGGAAAUAGUAUUUCCAAACCCUAAAGAGGUUUCCAUAAACCACUGAGAAGAGUAUUUUCAAUCCUAAGAGCUUUUGAUUAAGCAUUGUGAAGAGUAUUCACAAAACCCAGAAGCUUCCGCUACAUCAGUUCUCCUUCUUCUUCUCUACAUCAGCUUCCUUGUGUUUCUUAUCUUUCUUCUGCUUCUUCGUUGGUGGCUCAGCAGCUGACGAAACAUCAACUUUCGUUCUCUUGUUCUUGUUCUUGUUCUCAUUCAUCUGCACAUCCCAAAAACCUCAAACAAACCUACCAGCAUAUAUGUCUGAUAUCAAUUUCACAAAUUGUGGGUCCUCUGCUUCACCCGGCCAUUGAGGAAACAGAUCUUGUAGAGAGUCCUUCAUAACCAUUUUCUUCACAUGCACCUACAAAAGUAACUCAUAAUUCAGCCAUCAUAUGGGUAAUAACUCAGCCAUCAAAACCACAUAAAUCAGUCAACAAUAACUAAUAACUCAGCCAUCAAAACCUCAUAACUCAACCAUCAAUAACUUAUAACUCAGCCACCAAUCACUCAUAACUCAGUCACAAAAUAAAUAAAAACUCAUCCAUCAAUACAUACCUCGCCAUGAUCUCUAAUCUCCUCAGAGAUGACAGUAGUAAAACU
Molecule: long non-coding RNA, 681 nt
Filed under: Brassica napus (rape)
Lineage: Eukaryota; Viridiplantae; Streptophyta; Magnoliopsida; Brassicales; Brassicaceae
Description: long non-coding RNA (BNAP_LNC009451)
Source: RNAcentral